RNAcentral lists this ribosomal RNA (417 nucleotides) under uncultured Porphyromonas sp. RNAcentral describes it as "bacterial SSU rRNA". It matches the Rfam family "Bacterial small subunit ribosomal RNA", at positions 355 to 770 of the family's 1533-position model. Lineage: Bacteria; Pseudomonadati; Bacteroidota; Bacteroidia; Bacteroidales; Porphyromonadaceae. The record is from RNAcentral.
UGAGGAAUAUUGGUCAAUGGGCGAGAGCCUGAACCAGCCAAGUCGCGUGAAGGAUGAAGGUUCUAUGGAUUGUAAACUUCUUUUAUUCGAGGGUAAAGUGAGGUACGUGUACCUUAUUGCAAGUAUCGAAUGAAUAAGCAUCGGCUAACUCCGUGCCAGCAGCCGCGGUAAUACGGAGGAUGCGAGCGUUAUCCGGAUUUAUUGGGUUUAAAGGGUGCGUAGGCGGUUUGUCAAGUCAGCGGUCAAACUGCGGGGCUUAACCUCGUAUUGCCGUUGAAACUGGCUGACUAGCGUGGCGUCGAGGUGUGCGGAAUGCGUUGUGUAGCGGUGAAAUGCAUAGAUAUGACGCAGAACUCCGAUUGCGAAGGCAGCACACCGGGCGCCUACGGACGCUGAGGCACGAAAGCGUGGGUAUCG